UUAUGCUUCACAGAGACGUGGCCAUGUGGAUCGAUACCGGACUCUGCACUGCAGCUGGCCAGCGCGUGGUCGUUGACCCUAUAGUGUGUCUGGAGCGGAGAAACCUGGACUCUUUAGUUGCUGUCCUCUGUGACUUUAACAAGGGAAAUCUCAGCCAUUAACUCCCCAAAUACAGACAGCUAAUUAAAUGCCCGACCAGAGAGGAGGAUAUUCUGGAUCACUGUUACACCACAGUGAGCAGUGCCUAUCACUGGGACGUUUUCAGGACCGCUACCAGCAGUCUGGAUGGGUUCAGAGGCUGUGACGUCAUACUUCAGCUUCUGUAAGGACUGCUGUGAACCAUCACGCACCAGGGUGAGUUACAACAACGACAAACCCUGGUUCACAGCUGAACUCAGACAGCUGAGGGUGGAAAAGGAAGAGGCGUUCAGGAGUGGAGACAGGGACAAGUUUAAAGAGUCGAAGUACAGGUUUAGCAAGGCGGUGAGAGAAGCUAAACGACUCAGAGAGACUACAACACCAGUUCUCAGCCAACGACUCUGCUUCUGUCUGGAGGGGGCUCAGAUUGACCACCUGGUGACUGGUGCAGUCAGAACAACCUGGAGCUCAAUGCUCUAAAGACAGCGGAGAUGGUUGUGGAUCACAAGAAGAACCCAGCCCCACCCGCCCCCAUCACCCUGUGUGACUCCCCUGUCGACACUGUGGAGUCCUUCUGCUUCCUGGGCACCAUCAUCACCCGGGACCUCAACUCACCAAGAAAGUCCAGCAAAGGAUGUACUUCCUGUGGCAGCUAACGAAAUUCAACCUGCCAAAGACAACGAUGGUGCACUUCUACACUGCCGUCAUCGAGUCCAUCCUCACCUCCUCCAUCACCAUCUGAUUCGCGGCUGCCACCGCCAAGGACAAGGACAGCCUGCAGCGUAUCAUCACUCCGCAGAGAAGGUGAUUGGCUGCAAUCUACCUUCCCUCCAGGACCUUUACGCCAGGAGGCGUGCAGCGAAGAUGAACCGUUUCAGAUGCUCCCCAUCAUCAGGACCAAAACGGUCUGCAGCCGGCCUCAUCAAGAAAGGCCCCCACUGACACGACACUCAUACCCAUCCACCCCCCCCGUACAAACUCAUCAGAGCGAAGAGUUUAGGUUUGAGGUGGGGGGGGCACGGCAGACGACCUCGACGGACGUCCUGACGAACCUGCAGAAUCUCAAACCGAAGAACUGGAUUUCGACCACCUUCAGGUGAGAAAACACCUGCUGCAAGAUGGCCGCCGCCUUCGAAGAUUUCUGAAGAUAAAAAAAAGACUUCACUUCGUCUCGCUCACUUUACAGAACAAACAUCUUGUUGUGUCUCUCCCUCAGUGUUCGGGUGACUGACAUCACAACACAAAGGAGAAGGAGAGAGAGAGAUCAACAUUUCCUGAUGUAAAAAGAAAUAAGGAGAAAGAAAAGAAAAGGUGAAAACAACGGAAAAAGACAAAUGACAGAAAAGGUUAAAAAAAAACAGGACACAGGAAGUUCUCGCUCACCUUGAUGCCUUGCUCAGCCGUUAGAGUGAUCUUCCUCUCGUCUAAUAAGAGGACUUCGCCAUAAAAUUCCUCCCGAUUGCCACGAAAACAGGCCAUCAUUACUUAAGACAAAAAUAUAAUUUUUUAAAAAUCAUGUUACCUGCAGCAGCUUCAGGUGAUUAAAGAAACACAUGAGACAUCAACCAAUCAGGAGCCAAGUUACAGUUGACUGUGAUUCUGAUAAAAAAUAUAAAUAAAAAAGGACAGCUUCACAGUUUUUCAGUCAGGUGUCCAGAUGAAACCUUUUCCAGUGUUCAUAACAGCACCAAAACAUGUGAAUUUUGAUUUAGUUUUAUAAAUUGUUGUAGAUUUGUAGAUUAAUUUGCUUUAAUCAGCACAGACAGCGAGACAUUAAAACACCAACUUCAGUAUCAGAGUUCAUGUCAAACUGUUACAAUAAUAACAACCUGUCGUGUGAUCAUAGCGCAGAAAAACACUGCAAAUCUGUUUGUUAAUAAAAGGUUAAUAAACAGAUUUGAGUGUUCAGUUUAGUGCUGAGUGAAAUAAGAGCGUGAAUUUUAAAGUAAAACUUCUGAAAUAUGUGUCUGGCCUUCAGAAUAAAAGCAAUGAAUCAUAAUCUGCAAAGAACAAAACAGUUUGAAUAAAUGAAAUGAAGCAUUUAAAAGUCACAGUGGAUAAAUGAAACAGACUGAUAAUUUUCAUUAAAAAUAAUAAGAAAAUAGUUAAAUACUCCUUUUAUGAUGGACAGAGUGUAGUUAAUCGAGUGUGUGCAGCAUUUCUCCUCAGACAGACUCCCUCUCUUCAGUUCAUUUCUUUGUUCCAUCCACUCUUGACAUAAUAAGGGUUUGAAAUGUUUUGACAACAUUUUUAUCAAUAAUUGUUUUGCAUCUUUCUCUCAGCUGACAGAAACCAGGACCCAUUUUUUCAAGUACUUACAACCUUUAUUCCCCAGUUCCCAGAGAAACCCCCUCAUGAUCCUGCAGACACAUUUCUGUCUUUAAAUCCUCUCCUGACAGCAUCCAUGUCAGUUCUGUAGUCUUUCAUCUCAAACAUAAGCUGCACCACCUCAACUAUUACAACACAACCUAGAUUUAAAUUUUUCAGAUCACAUGUGAGCAAGAUACAUUACUCUUCUAUGUGCGUACACACUUAUAGAUCUUCCCCCUGCAUUGAUACCUUUAAAACUAAAGACUCAUCUCUUUUCUUUAGCCUCUUAAUUGUCAUCAUGGAGACAUGCCUGACCACACAUUUUAUUUGUUGUGCAAUGCUGUUUGUGUUGUGAUUUUCUCAAGAUAUUCUAUGCUUUUGUUAAUUUAUUUACAUCCUCUUAUUUAUGUCUGUUUUUAUUUGAUAAUUUCUGUGUUUAUAUUUGAUCAUCCCUGUGUUUUUGUUUGAUUGUAAUCAUCAAUCAAAUAAUACUGUAAUUUAAUCUCUCUGUAAAGCCCUUUGGUCAGUGUUUGUUGUUUUUAAAUGUGCUCUAUAGAUAAAUUGACUUGACUCAUACAAUUCAAAGGAAUACAUCAUACUCAUAUUUCCAAAACCGAACUAGCUUGAAUUAAACCUGAGGUGGUUCUGUGCCUA
Long non-coding RNA from Siniperca chuatsi (mandarin fish), 3102 nucleotides. RefSeq lists it as uncharacterized. The transcript is spliced from 3 exons. NCBI's taxonomy places the organism in Eukaryota, Metazoa, Chordata, Actinopteri, Centrarchiformes, Sinipercidae. The record is from RefSeq and is a predicted model, not a curated record.